GAACUGAAGAGUUUGAUCCUGGCUCAGAUUGAACGCUGGCGGCAUGCUUUAGGAUUAGAUGAUAAAUUGAGUAAGAGCUCAACUAGGCGCGACGAUCCGCUAGCUGGUCUGGGAAGGGCGACCAGCCACCCAGGACUGAGACGCAGUUCCGAACUCCUGCAGGAGGCAGAGGUGGGAAUUUUGGACAAUACAGGCGCAAGCCUGAUCCCAACCAUACCGCGUGAGUGGAAGGCCUUCCGGGUUGUAAAGCUCUUUCAGCCGGAAAGAAAACGCGCGGGAUAAUACCCUGUGUGGUCGACGGUACCGGAAGAAGAAGCACCGGCUAACUUCACGUUGCCAACCGCGCGCGGUAAUACGUAGGAGUGCGCGACGUUAAUCGAGUUACUGGGCGUAAAGCGUGCGCGGAACGGUUUUGAAAGACAGAUGUGAAAUCCCCGAGGAUAACCUGGGAACUGCAUUUGUAACUACCAAGGCUAGAAGUGCGGCAGAGGGGGAAGAAUUCCACUGUGCCAACCAGUGAAAUGCGUAGAUAUGUGGAGGAAUACCGAUG
RNAcentral lists this ribosomal RNA (550 nucleotides) under Nitrosomonadales bacterium. RNAcentral describes it as "bacterial SSU rRNA". It matches the Rfam family "Bacterial small subunit ribosomal RNA", at positions 1 to 714 of the family's 1533-position model. The record is from RNAcentral. Lineage: Bacteria; Pseudomonadati; Pseudomonadota; Betaproteobacteria; Nitrosomonadales.